GACGAACGCUGGCGGCGUGCCUAAUACAUGCAAGUAGAACGCUGAAGGAGGAGCUUGCUUCUCUGGAUGAGUUGCGAACGGGUGAGUAACGCGUAGGUAACCUGCCUGGUAGCGGGGGAUAACUAUUGGAAACGAUAGCUAAUACCGCAUAAGAGUAGAUGUUGCAUGACAUUUGCUUAAAAGGUGCAAUUGCAUCACUACCAGAUGGACCUGCGUUGUAUUAGCUAGUUGGUGAGGUAACGGCUCACCAAGGCAACGAUACAUAGCCGACCUGAGAAGGUGAUCGGCCACACUGGGACUGAGACACGGCCCAGACUCCUACGGGAGGCAGCAGUAGGGAAUCUUCGGCAAUGGACGGAAGUCUGACCGAGCAACGCCGCGUGAGUGAAGAAGGUUUUCGGAUCGUAAAGCUCUGUUGUAAGAGAAGAACGAGUGUGAGAGUGGAAAGUUCACACUGUGACGGUAUCUUACCAGAAAGGGACGGCUAACUACGUG
This 495-nucleotide ribosomal RNA is filed under the name uncultured bacterium. RNAcentral's name for it is "partial 16S ribosomal RNA". It matches the Rfam family "Bacterial small subunit ribosomal RNA", at positions 28 to 507 of the family's 1533-position model. The record is from RNAcentral.